This 185-nucleotide ribosomal RNA is filed under the name uncultured bacterium. RNAcentral describes it as "partial 16S ribosomal RNA". It matches the Rfam family "Bacterial small subunit ribosomal RNA", at positions 1316 to 1500 of the family's 1533-position model. The record is from RNAcentral.
CUACAUGAAGCCGGAAUCGCUAGUAAUCGCGGAUCAGAAUGCCGCGGUGAAUACGUUCCCGGGUCUUGUACACACCGCCCGUCACACCAUGGGAGUCGGGAAUGCCCGAAGUCAGUGACCCAACCCAAGGGAGGGAGCUGCCGAAGGCAGGCCUGGUGACUGGGGUGAAGUCGUAACAAGGUACC